GUUCUUUUGAUGUGCAAAGAUUUCAUAUUCUACAUUUCAUAUUCUUUUCAUAUUUUCACAUUUACAUUCAAAAGAUGAUCUUAUAAAGUUAGACACAUUUUUGGUAAAAUAUAUACUUUAUUUAUUCAUACAAAGAAAUAGUUUGAAUGUUCAGCAUUUCAUUAUUUAAAAACAUUUCUUCCAUUUUGCUCUUUCACUGUGUCAAAUUCCUUUGAUGUACAAGAUGCCACAAAAUACUUGAUGUCCAUGUUCCUUUUCAUUUUUAAACACACCGAAUCUGCUAAACCUCUAAAUAUGAAUCACAUUAUACACAGACGGGGUGUGAAAGACAAACAACCCUAGCAUUAUAUUUUGUAGAUCUCUAAAAGGGUUGAAUAAAACUCAACCAGAACGGAUACAGCAGCGUGGAUCGUGACCAUGAGUGCAAGCUUUUGAGAUAGCGUUUCCUUUCGGACCGAUCCUAUUUCCUAUAAAGUGCACUACUUUUCACCAGAGCCCUGUAGGCCUUGGUCAAAAGUAGUGCACUAAAUAAGGAAUAGAGUGCCAUUUAGGAUGCACACCUACUCUCUUAGUAACAUGAAUAACACCAUAAUUCCAAUGCAUUAGUGGGACUGUAAAUGUAACAGAGGGCAACAGCCCCAGACUCCUUUACUCCAACCGUUACAGGGAGAAAGAUUGACAUUACUCAGAUUCAGAAUUUCCUGCUCUAUACAAAGGCCAUUUUAAAUGUUUUCAACAAACAUUGCACUAUAAGGAGAGAAGGGGAGGUUGAGGCGUUGUCCAUAUAGGCAUGAUCAUUGAAAACAGGUGUAAAUUCCUUGGUGGUAAAAGCCACUAUGUGAAUAAGGGACCAGUAAAAUGCUGGGACAACCCAUCAUCUCCACUAAUACCAUCCACUGGUUUGAGAUUUUUAAAAAUCUACCUUCAUAACUGGUUCCACACUGUUGAAAUGAGAUGGAGGUUGGGUAUUUGAAUUAGACUGUUUAGCAACAUUUUCUUAAAACUUGAAAAAAGUACCAUACUGUCACUUCUUUUUUUGAUAUACUUUUAAAUUGCCAAUAGUCAGUAACAGACACUUUCAACUUUGCAUUUGAUUGGAGGGAAUUUAAUAUGUAGUUUGUAGGGGAAAGAAUGUGCAUAUUCACUCUGGGUCCCUCCACACUCAGCCGUUUUAGGCUUACCACCCAAAUGGUCUCCUAUUCACUAUGGGCCCUGGUCACAAGUAGUACACUGUAGGGAAUAGGGUGCAUAUUCAGCAGUUUUACAAUCCAAAGAGGAUAGGAUGGCUUUGAAGUAGCCCCUACCUGCGAGAGUAUGGGCCAGCAUAA
Molecule: long non-coding RNA, 1328 nt
Organism: Oncorhynchus tshawytscha (Chinook salmon)
Lineage: Eukaryota; Metazoa; Chordata; Actinopteri; Salmoniformes; Salmonidae
Source: Ensembl